RNAcentral lists this ribosomal RNA (1373 nucleotides) under Mesostigma viride. Its description in RNAcentral is "eukaryotic LSU rRNA". It matches the Rfam family "Eukaryotic large subunit ribosomal RNA", at positions 598 to 1867 of the family's 3401-position model. Lineage: Eukaryota; Viridiplantae; Streptophyta; Mesostigmatophyceae; Mesostigmatales; Mesostigmataceae. The record is from RNAcentral.
UUUUUAACGCGGGUCGCUGGUCAGCGUGGGCCGCGUGGGCGCGACAAAGCCGGGGGUCGACACCCCGAGCCUCGCGUCCCCGCGGCCGAGGAGUCGCGGCGCGCGCCAUUUGGCGGGCUUCGGCACCUGCGCGCCUCGGACGCUGGCGCAACGCUCCCAUCCGGCCCGUCUUGAAACACGGACCAAGGAGUCUAACAUGCGUGCGAGCCGGUGGGCGGCAAACCCACGAGGCGCAAGGAAAGUGAGCGGUGGGAUCCGAAAGGUGCACCAUCGACCGACCAUGAUCUUCUGUGAAAGGUUCGAGUAGGAGCAUGCCUGUUGGGACCCGAAAGAUGGUGAACUAUGCCUGAGCAGGGCGAAGCCAGAGGAAACUCUGGUGGAGGCUCGUAGCGAUACUGACGUGCAAAUCGUUCGUCAGACUUGGGUAUAGGGGCGAAAGACUAAUCGAACCAUCUAGUAGCUGGUUCCCUCCGAAGUUUCCCUCAGGAUAGCUGGAGCUCGCGCAGUUUUAUCGGGUAAAGCGAAUGAUUAGUGGUUCCGGGGGUGUAACACCUUCGGCCAAUUCUCAAACUUUAAAUAGGUAAGGCGCCCGGGUUGCUUGGUUGAACCCGGGACGCGAAUGAGAGCUCCAAGUGGGCCAUUUUUGGUAAGCAGAACUGGCGAUGCGGGAUGAACCGAUAGCCUGGUUACGGUGCCGGAGUGCGCGCUAACCUAGAUCCCACAAAGGGUGUUGAUUGAUACAGACAGCAGGACGGUGGUCAUGGAAGUCGAAAUCCGCUAAGGAGUGUGUAACAACUCACCUGCCGAAUCAAUUAGCCCCGAAAAUGGAUGGCGCUCAAGCGCGCCACCUAUACCAGGCCAUCGGGGCGAGCGCGUUGCCCCGAUGAGUAGGAGGGCGUGGGGCCCGUGGCGCAGCCUGCGGCGCGAGCCGGGGUGAAACGGGCCCUAGUGCAGAUCUUGGUGGUAGUAGCAAAUAUUCAAAUGAGACCUUUGAAGACUGAAGUGGAGAAAGGUUCCGUGUGAACAGCAGUUGGACACGGGUUAGCCGACCCUAAGAGGACGGGGAACCCCUGUGCAAGGUCGGCUUGUCCGACCGCCCUCGAAAGGGAACCGGGUUAAGAUUCCCGGGCCGGGACGUGGGGGCGGGCGGUAACGCGUGCGAGCCCGGAGACGCUGGCGGGGGCUCCCGGAAGAGUUGUCUUUUCUUCUUGACGGUCCGAAGGCCCUGGAAUCGGUUCAGCCGGAGAUAGGGCCCAGCGGCCGGCAGAGCUCCGCACCUCUUGCGGAGUCGGGUGCGCCCCCGACAGCCCCUGAAAAUCCGGGGGAGCGGCUACCUGCCACGCCCGGUCGUACUCAUAACCGCAGCAGGUCUC